AACGAGCGAUAGGAAGGAAGUUUUCGGAUGGAAUUCAUAUUGACUGAGUGGCGGACGGGUGAGUAACGCGUGGGUAACCUGCCUCAUACAGGGGGAUAACAGUUAGAAAUGACUGCUAAUACCGCAUAAGCGCACAGAAUCGCAUGAUUCGGUGUGAAAAACUCCGGUGGUAUGAGAUGGACCCGCGUCUGAUUAGCUAGUUGGUGGGGUAAAGGCCUACCAAGGCGACGAUCAGUAGCCGACCUGAGAGGGUGAUCGGCCACAUUGGGACUGAGACACGGCCCAAACUCCUACGGGAGGCAGCAGUGGGGAAUAUUGCACAAUGGGGGAAACCCUGAUGCAGCAACGCCGCGUGAGUGAAGAAGUAUUUCGGUAUGUAAAGCUCUAUCAGCAGGGAAGAAGAUGACGGUACCUGAUUAAGAAGCCCCGGCUAACUACGUGCCAGCAGCCGCGGUAAUACGUAGGGGGCAAGCGUUAUCCGGAUUUACUGGGUGUAAAGGGAGCGUAGACGGCAUAGCAAGUCUGAAGUGAAAGCCCAAGGCUCAACCAUGGGACUGCUUUGGAAACUGUUAAGCUAGAGUGCUGGAGAGGUAAGCAGAAUUCCUAGUGUAGCGGUGAAAUGCGUAGAUAUUAGGAAGAACACCAGUGGCGAAGGCGGCUUACUGGACAGUAACUGACGUUGAGGCUCGAAAGCGUGGGGAGCAAACAGGAUUAGGUACCCUGGUAGUCCACGCCGUAAACGAUGAAUGCUAGGUGUUGGGGAGCAAAGCUUCUCGGUGCCGCCGC
Molecule: ribosomal RNA, 786 nt
Filed under: uncultured bacterium
Lineage: Bacteria
Description: bacterial SSU rRNA
Rfam family: Bacterial small subunit ribosomal RNA
Source: RNAcentral